UUAAGCAUAUCAAUAAGCGGAGGAAAAGAAACCAACAGGGAUUGCCUCAGUAGCGGCGAGUGAAGCGGCAAAAGCUCAAAUUUGAAAUCUGGCGUCUUUGGCGUCCGAGUUGUAAUUUGAAGAAGGUAUCUUUGGGCCCGGCUCUUGUCUAUGUUCCUUGGAACAGGACGUCACAGAGGGUGAGAAUCCCGUGCGAUGAGAUGACCCGGGUCUGUGUAAAGUUCCUUCGACGAGUCGAGUUGUUUGGGAAUGCAGCUCUAAGUGGGUGGUAAAUUCCAUCUAAAGCUAAAUAUUGGCGAGAGACCGAUAGCGAACAAGUACAGUGAUGGAAAGAUGAAAAGAACUUUGAAAAGAGAGUGAAAAAGUACGUGAAAUUGUUGAAAGGGAAGGGCUUGAGAUCAGACUUGGUAUUUUGCAUGUUGCUCUCUCGGGGGCGGCCGCUGCGGUUUACCGGGCCAGCAUCGGUUUGGAGCGGCAGGAUAAUGGCGGAGGAAUGUGGCACGGCUUCUGCUGUGUGUUAUAGCCUCUGACGAUGCUGCCAGCCUAGACCGAGGACUGCGGUUUUUACCUAGGAUGUUGGCAUAAUGAUCUUAAGUCGCCCGUCUUG
RNAcentral lists this ribosomal RNA (607 nucleotides) under Candida albicans. RNAcentral's name for it is "eukaryotic LSU rRNA". It matches the Rfam family "Eukaryotic large subunit ribosomal RNA", at positions 34 to 656 of the family's 3401-position model. The record is from RNAcentral. Lineage: Eukaryota; Fungi; Ascomycota; Pichiomycetes; Serinales; Debaryomycetaceae.